CAGAAGGAGAAACGCUGGUUUCUCCGGACAGGGGCGGGGCCACGUCGCUUCCAGGAGAUUACGUCGUUUGCGUUAAGUUACCGGCGCGGGUGGCGGGGCAGUCAGGGAAGGGACUCCAUUUUACCUGGUGGGACAUAGGAGAGCAAGACAAGGACCGCAAGGCCCAAGAGGACACUCCUUGUGACCAUAAUCAGCAAAGAAGCGGCUUCGGUGCCGGGGAGAGUGACUCUACGCAGCCUUGGAUGUUUGUGAUGUGGUCGAGACAACACAUCUGUGACAGACUCAUAGAGAACCGCGGAGCAGAAGAAAAUCAGCAAAUAGACUAGAGGACCUGAGUUUCGAAGAGCACAGAGAAAAGAUGAAGCACACACAAGUGCAUGAAGGGACUCUCCUGAGAACCACUUUCCAACCUGCAGCAAUAGAAUCUGCCUCCAGCCAGGCUUAAAUUACGGCUGUGUUUCAUAACAUCCCGGCUCUGCUGAGCGCUCAGUGGUUCUCCAGAGGAAAGAAAAGGCAGAGCAGACAUUUUCACUGUCACGUUUAUAUCAAGAAAAGGCAGCAUUGAACAGCCCAGGGCCUCUUCUUCCUGGAAUUCUGUAGAAGCCUGUGAUCUCCCCAGUACGCCCCUCCAGGAAGAGUGAGGCCAGUGGCCAGCCCCACCCAGCUCAGCCCAGCCCAGCUCUAUAAAGGAGCCUCUCAGACAGCCUGGAAGUUCCAGCCCUGUGCGCUCCUUGGCCAUGAACCUCUAUCUUUCUCCGUUACUCCUCUUCCUGGCAAUCUUAUUGCCUUCAGGUGAAGAAUGCUUUCCAAGGUCACACAACAAGUAAGAGUUAGUGCUGGGUUUGAACCCAGGCAGUUUUCGCCCAGUGUCUGGUUUUGCUGCCCCUCUCCAUCAGUAAGUAUGAGAAUGUGGCCAGAUUGUGGUUCCAAAGAGGAGGAGGCAAGAAUCCAACUAGACCCCGGAAGGACAAGCCCCUCAAUGCUCAUCCUGUGGUUUAAGGCCACCGUGCUUCUGGCUGCCAAGUCGCAUUCAUGGCUCUGUACUCAGUGGCUUUCAUGAGUCACGGUCCCUCAGAUCCCACACACCGAUCUGCUGCUUUCACCACAGAGGUGGAGCGUUGGCCCACACACGCCCACUCCAAACCUGCAGUGUCUGUGGGGCAGCACUGCCCAGGGUCCUCACCAUCCACUCCAGGGUUUCCACCUGGAGGCAGAGGCCUCGGGUCUGCAUGGAGACCCUAAUUGUCCUCUGCUAAGAAAAGUGAAGGGUAGCUUUGUUUCAGAUCUCACUUCUCCAGGAGCGUGCCUGGCGGGCAUGCUCUGAACAUCUGCACUGAAUGCUAAGCAGGGGUGAGCUGCCUGCUCAGAGCUCUGCCUCAACAUCAGUCCCCCAAAUUCCAGCAAAGAAGAAAAACCAGAGAUCACCCUGGUCCACGAGGCGGGCCUCCGAGGGCACUGUGCUUCAGCUGGUCACUGUGGGCGUGCGGGUGUCCACAGAGGUCCUGUGUGCAAGGGCACUGUGCUUCAGCUGGUCCCUGUGGGCAUGCAGGUGUCCACAGAGGUUCUGUGUGCGAGGGCACUGUGCUUCAGCUGGUCCCUGCGGGCGUGCGGGUGUCCACAGAGGUUCUGUGUGCGAGGGCACUGUGCUUCAGCUGGUACCUGUGGGCGUGCGGGUGUCCACAGAGGUUCUGUGUGCGAGGGCACUGUGCUUCAGCUGGUCCCUGCGGGCGUGCGGGUGUCCACAGAGGUUCUGUAUGUGAGGGCACUGUGCUUCAGCUGGUCCCUGCGGGCGUGCGGGUGUCCACAGAGGUUCUGUGUCAGACCACCUGCCCGUGCUCACUUCAAACUACCUCUUACCAAAAAAAAAACAGGACAUUGCAACAGUUCACAAAUAAUACAAAUGCGUUGAAAUUAACAUGAAAAAAGAAAAUACAAGAGAAAACCGGGUGAAAGGAAAAAGCAGAUAUACUUUCACCAGAUGUCAAAAGGAUCCAAAGCUCAAAAAAGGCUAAAGCCGUCGACCCUUUUCUUGCAGUUCCUAAGUUCAUGGCCACUCCUGCCUGGUGGAGAUGCUGCUCUAACCUUGACAGUAGGGCAGAAAAGACACAUCUCUCUCCAGCAGCAUUCAGAGAGGACCGAAGCAUGUACAAUUAUUUCUGCUGAAAACCCACACGGGAAACAAGAAUACAAAGUCAUCACACCAACAGCAUAAUGUAUUGACCCUGCAGCCCCUGGGUGUGGACCUAGUCAGGGGGCCGUGUCUCUGAGGAGGCACGAGUGCCAAUCUUGCUCUCCAAGUCCCAGGACACCCAUGGGGAGGGUCCACAAUUUAGGCUUAGAGACCUCUGUCCCCAGAAAUGUUAUUGGGAUGAGUGACAGAAUCACAUGAGUGCCAUCGAGAUAUCAGUUUUCCCUGGUGCAGCAAACUGUUUCAGGACAGUGAAUCCACAGGCCCGCCCUGAGGACAAAAGCAAUUCUAUCACACAGAGUUGAUAGGAGUAGCAGUUCCUUAUGCUCCCUCCAAAAAAUACCCAAUUGCUACGUACUGCAGCAUGUUUCACAAGCCAUGCCAACCCUCACAGUUUAGGGUUUAAGCAGGCAAUGCCAGUGGCCACACGCUGAAGGGACAAUGACUUAGUCUGGACGUCAGUCGUGGCGGGUUUUUUAUUUUUGCUUUUUGUUUGUUUUUUUUCUGAGAUGGAGUCUCGAUUUGUCGCCCAGGCUGAAGUGCAGUGGUGUGAUUUGGACUCACUGCAACCUCCACCCUGCCUCCAUGAGGCGGGUUCAAGCUAUUCUCCUGCCUCAGCUCCCAAGUAGCUGGAACUAUGGGCACACGCCACCAUGCCCAACUAAUUUUUUUGUAUUUUUAGUAGAGACAGGGUUUCAAAGUGUUGGCCUGGCUGGUCUCAAACCCCUGACCUCAAGUGAUCCACCAGCCUCGACUUCCCAAAGUGCUGGGAUUACAGGUGUGAGCCACCACACCAGGCCAAUAUCAUGGCUUCUUAACUCAGGCAGGAGCCAGGACCAGUGUGCAAUACGGGAGCAAUUGACUGUGAGUGUGAGGUGUUCAGACGGAUUCCUGGCUCUGAUUCCUGAGGUUGUUUGUAAGGAAGUCGUCCAAUCUUGUUCUCCAAAAUCAGAGCAGAUUGGGUGGGCACGGUGGCUCACGUCUGUAUCCCAGCACUUUGGGAGGCAGAGGAGGGCAGAUCACAAGGUCAGGAGUUCAACACCAACUUGGCCAACGUGGUAAAACUCCAUCUCUACUGAAAAUACAAAAAUCAGCUGGGUGUGGUGGCAGGUGCCUGAAAUCCCAGCUACUCUGGUGGCUGAGGCAGGUGGCUGCGCCGAGAGGCACAGGUUGCAGUGAGCCGAGAUUGCGCCACUGCACUCCAGCCUGGGUGACAGAGCAAGACUCUGUCUUGGGGAAAAGAAAAAAAAAUGGAGCAGAUUACUCAACUAACUUCAACCCAUCAGGGGACCUGAUAGUGUAAAAUCUUCAUAACUAAAGUGCAGGAGUAAAAACUAACAUUCAGAACAGACGAGGCAUUUUCCCAGGACCAUGCAACUCAUCAGUGUGCAAAGCUGGGAUUCACACACAGGUCUAGCCCCUCCCUUUCUGCUUCCUGAUCUGUAGUAUGACGCCCCGGUCUCUCUGAGGGUACUGCUGGCACUGGAAAGGGAAGAGGUGAACUGCAACCUUCUGGAGAUGUGGAGUCAGGUCAGAAAAGCAUGAGUCAGGUCGUUGAGAGAAAUCAGCCCUUCCAACCAGACCACGAGGCAGGGAUCCUUAAGCUUAUAGCCUGGGACUUUGAAAGGACCUGAUUGGUUAAAACUGGUCUGAGAAAGUUCCUUCCCAGUAUCUGGGCUGGAGAUUUCUAGCUUCUGCCCAGUUUUCCCCACAGGCUAGCACUGCUCAGCUCUGCUCAACGGCGGAGCUAGACAAGAGAGUAAUUGAGAAGAAGGAGAAGCCGCAGAAGAAGCUGACCUUCCCUUCAACUGCCCUGUAGUUAGCUCCCUUGCAGAGAGAUAAAAGACCUUGAACCAAAGUCUCUGGGCGCACUUGAUGGUGCUUUUCCUCCCCCAGCCUCAGGUGCAGGCUGACUCCUGGGUGCCUGGCUGGCUGCAGCCCAAGUCCUGAUGAGUGCAGCCUGUAUCUUGAUGGCCUUCAUUGUGCCUGGAGGAGGGCAGAGGAGUACAAAUGUUCGAGGUGUCCCAGGACUUCCACAGACCAAAACCUCCCUGGAGUGGGGAAAGGCGUUUAUUGGAUUUGGCAGAAUGUUCAAAGCCUUACGUCCUCUCCACGUGCACUCACGAGGCUCUGUCAUCUGCAGUUGGCCUCCUGACACUGCGUAGGCAUUCUCUAUAGGACAGACCCUUCACACACACCGGAAAAAAGCAGGCUGGCUUUCUGACUUUGCAGGCAGAUGUCCUGGAGGCUUGGUAACUAUAACAUAAAUCGCUUCUAGGGAACCCAGCUAAAUCAGCUUUCAGAACUUCUAUUUACUGGGUUCAUUUCAUCUCAAAUGCUGAGAACUGUGAGCCAGGCCCAAAUACAAAAGCCCCUUGAGGCUGAGUGUGAUGGUUCACUCCUGUAAUCCCAGCACUUUGGAACUGCAACGUGGGGCAGAUUGCUUGAGCACAGGCGUUUAAGACCAGCCUGGGCAACAUGGUGAAAGCCCAUAUCUUCAAAAAAUACAAAACUUAGCUGGGUCUGGUGGCUCACAGCUGUACUCCCAGCUACUCAGGAGGCUGAGGUGGGGGGAUCACUUGAGCCUGAGGGGGUCAAGGCUGCAGUGAGCCAUGAUUGCACCACUGCACACAGCCUGGGUGAGUUACCAAGACCCUGUCUCAAAAAUACAAAUUUAAAAAGCCCCUCGGGAAACCCUGCCUAAUAUUACUGAACAUACUUGUGCUUUUCUUCACCAUUGCUACAGGGGAAUCUGAAUUCCUCCCGGUUCUGCAAUUCCCUACCACGGGCUCAGAAACCUUAGUUAUUCUGAAAGCAGCAAGAGGUCAGUUUUAGGCCAAAAUCCAUUUAUUCUGCUCUCAAUGUCUUUCAAAGGAAAAUGGAAAUAACGCAAUGCUCCACAUGGUGAUCGAGGAGGAACAGGAUGUUUCCCCUUCAUUUCUCCAAACUGUGCUUAGGCAAGUGCCGGAGCCACGAAGAGCCCCACCUCACUCUUGCUCUCCUUCUCUUAGUCCUCUCUGUCUCAUGUAAGGCAGAAUCUUUGGAGGAUACAGAGAGUAAUUACAAAUAAGUACUGGGUUCUGCUGGCCCAGGGUGUGCUGACUUUCUGCUCCUCCCAUGGCGAGCCGCCAUGGCCAAGGGCUCGUUCUCCCCGCCCCUCUGCCCGCUUAGCCUACGAGCAAAGAGAGAGUUCCACUUGCCACCCGUCUUCACAGACACUUGCAUCGCCUGUCUUCUAUAAUCUCACCCUCUGGGGGGUGUGUAGUGGUGUCUCAUCAGUUUUGUUUUUGUGGGGUUUUUGUUUUGUUUUGUCUUGUUUGAGCCAGAGUUUCCCUCUGUCACCCAGGCUGGAGUUCAGUGGUGCCAUCUCAGCUCACCGCAACCUCAGACUCCCGGCUCAAACGAUUCUCACGUCUCAGACUCCUGAGUAGUGUGCCAUUACACUCGGUUCAUUUUUGUAUUUUUGUAGAGACAAGGUUUCUCCAUGUUGGCUGGUGUGGUCUCAAACUUCUGACCUCAGGUGAUCCACCUGCCUCGGCUUCCCAAAGUGCUGGAAUUACCUGCAUGAGCCACUGUGCCCUGCCAAACAAAAACCAGUUUUAAAAUUAGCUGGAUGUGUCUCUUAAAAACGUGUUUUGGCCAGGUGCGAUGGCUCACACCUGUAAUCCCAGCACUUUGAGAGGCGGAGGCAGGUGGAUCAGGAGGUCAAGAGUUCAAGACCAGCCUGGCCAACCUGAUGAAAACCCCUCUCUACUAAAAAUACAAAAAUUAGCUGGGCAUGGUGGGGCACACCUGUAAUCUCAGCCACUCAGGAGGCUUAGACAGGAGACUCAUUUGAACCCAAGAGGCAGAGGUUGCAGUGAGCCAAGAUCAUGCCAUUGGACUCCAGCCUGGGUGACAGAGCCAGACUCUGUCUCAAAAAAAAAAAAAAGUUGUGGUUUUUGUUUGUUGUUUUUGUUGUUGUUGUUGUUGAGAUGGAGUCGCCCUCUGUCGCCCAGACUGGAGUGCAGUGGCCAUGGGUUCCAGCAAUUU
This is a non-coding RNA of Callithrix jacchus (white-tufted-ear marmoset), 6220 nucleotides long. NCBI's taxonomy places the organism in Eukaryota, Metazoa, Chordata, Mammalia, Primates, Cebidae. The record is from RefSeq and is a predicted model, not a curated record.